This 253-nucleotide ribosomal RNA is filed under the name uncultured bacterium. Its description in RNAcentral is "partial 16S ribosomal RNA". It matches the Rfam family "Bacterial small subunit ribosomal RNA", at positions 524 to 776 of the family's 1533-position model. The record is from RNAcentral.
UACGUAGGUGGCAAGCGUUAUCCGGAUUUAUUGGGCGUAAAGAGAACGCAGGCGGUCUUUUAAGUCUGAUGUGAAAGCCUUCGGCUUAACCGGAGUAGUACAUUGGAAACUGGUAGACUUGAGUGCAGGAGAGGAGAGUGGAAUUCCAUGUGUAGCGGUGAAAUACGUAGAUAUAUGGAGGAACACCGGUGGCGAAAGCGGCUCUCUGGCCUGUAACUGACACUGAGGCUCGAAAGCGUGGGGAGCAAACAGG